CCUACGGGAGGCAGCAGUGAGGAAUAUUGGUCAAUGGACGAGAGUCUGAACCAGCCAAGUAGCGUGAAGGAUGACUGCCCUAUGGGUUGUAAACUUCUUUUAUAUGGGAAUAAAAUGUUCCACGUGUGGGCUUUUGUAUGUACCAUAUGAAUAAGGAUCGGCUAACUCCGUGCCAGCAGCCGCGGUAAUACGGAGGAUCCGAGUGUUAUCCGGAUUUAUUGGGUUUAAAGGGAGCGUAGGUGGAUUGUUAAGUCAGUUGUGAAAGUUUGCGGCUCAACCGUAAAAUUGCAGUUGAAACUGGCAGUCUUGAGUACAGUAGAGGUGGGCGGAAUUCGUGGUGUAGCGGUGAAAUGCUUAGAUAUCACGAAGAACUCCGAUUGCGAAGGCAGCUCACUGGACUGCAACUGACACUGAGGCUCGAAAGUGUGGGUAUCAAACAGGAUUAGAUACCCUUGUAGUC
RNAcentral lists this ribosomal RNA (460 nucleotides) under uncultured bacterium. RNAcentral's name for it is "partial 16S ribosomal RNA". It matches the Rfam family "Bacterial small subunit ribosomal RNA", at positions 338 to 795 of the family's 1533-position model. The record is from RNAcentral.